UGGGUAACCUACCGAGAUCUGGGGGAUAGCCGGCCCAACGGCCGGGUAAUACCGCAUACGCUCUUUCCACGGCAUUGUGGAUUGAGGAAACCUCCGGGGGAUUUCGAGGGGCUCGCGGCCUAUCAGCUAGUUGGUGUGGGUAAUGGCCCACCAAGGCGACGACGGGUAGCCGGCCUGAGAGGGUGACCGGCCACACUGGGACUGAGACACGGCCCAGACUCCGUACGGGAGGCAG
This 235-nucleotide ribosomal RNA is filed under the name uncultured bacterium. RNAcentral describes it as "partial 16S ribosomal RNA". It matches the Rfam family "Bacterial small subunit ribosomal RNA", at positions 118 to 351 of the family's 1533-position model. The record is from RNAcentral.